RNAcentral lists this ribosomal RNA (254 nucleotides) under uncultured bacterium. RNAcentral describes it as "partial 16S ribosomal RNA". It matches the Rfam family "Bacterial small subunit ribosomal RNA", at positions 524 to 776 of the family's 1533-position model. The record is from RNAcentral.
UACGAAGGGGGCUAGCGUUGCUCGGAAUCACUGGGCGUAAAGCGCACGUAGGCGGACUCUUAAGUCGGUGGUGAAAUCCUGGAGCUCAACUCCAGAACUGCCUUCGAUACUGGGAGUCUCGAGUCCGAGAGAGGUGAGUGGAACUGCGAGUGUAGAGGUGAAAUUCGUAGAUAUUCGGAAGAACACCAGUGGCGAAGGCGACUUACUGGACACAUAUUGACGCUGAGGUGCGAAAAGCGUGGGGAGCAAACAGG